UUUGUAGGACCUGAGGAACAACAGGUGAGGCUCGUCUGCAUUCCCAGAUUUAGCGAGUCUGGAGUUGCUGUUAUGCUAAAUUUGAGGGAUUUGAAUUGCCAUGCUCUGAAUUUCUCAGCAGAUCUGGACUCCUGACUGCAUAUUUGACAUAUAUUUUCAUCUGCUAUUACUGAUGAUCCACCAUAUAUCAUAGUGAAUAUAUGCAAUGUUGUAAGUUUAAAGAACAAACAACUCAUGCAACCUGAUCUUCUGCUUUGAUUGAUUAGAACUCCACGCAGAAAUUACCAGCUUAUGAGGUGAUUCUUACUGGAUCUUUGUCAUGGAAAGAGAUUCAUAAAAUUAAAUGUUGCAAAUCUAAGGAUGCUCUGGUGUAUGAGUGGCCUCACUUUUAGAGAGUGAUUUUAGA
Long non-coding RNA from Dendrobium catenatum, 406 nucleotides. RefSeq lists it as uncharacterized. The transcript has 3 exons. The record is from RefSeq and is a predicted model, not a curated record. NCBI's taxonomy places the organism in Eukaryota, Viridiplantae, Streptophyta, Magnoliopsida, Asparagales, Orchidaceae.